CAGGAAAGACAGGAACUUAUUCUUAAUGGCACACAGAAUUCUUAACCUGCAAGGUGUAUUUUUUCCUGUUUUGAUCUCACAAAAACUAUGAGAUUUGAACGUAAAUGGGUAAGACUAGAAAAGGUUAUACUGAGUGAUGUAAUCUAGACCCAGAAAACAAACACUUCAUUCUCUUUCAUCUGUGGCUCUAGCUCCACAUCUUCAGAUGUGAGUGUGGCUCUCAUCCCUCAUCAAGAAUGCCCCCCACCCAGAAGACAGAGACCGCUCCAGAAAGACACAGCCAGUCACAAUGCAGAAGACAACACACCACGGGGUACCUAAGGCUCAGAGGACACAGUGGAAGAGGGAGCAAAAGGACCGUCCAACUCCUCAAAACAUUUUAAACAUCAGGAAAGCAGUUGGAAAAACAGGACUUCUGCUCUACACACUUGGAAUCACUGAAAAUGGUGCGUCAGAAUGUGAACGUGUACCAAAUUCAACAUAAAACCACAGACAAGGGAGCUGGAGAGCUGGUUCGAGGAUACGAGCAUUAACUGCUCUUCCAGAGGUCCUGAGUUCAAUUCCCAGCAACCACAUGGUGGCUCACAGCCAUCUAAAAUGAGAUCUGAUGCCCUCUUCUGGUGUGCAGGGAAACAUGUAGAUAGAACACUGCAUACAUAAUAAACAAGUCUUAAAAAACAAAAAAGCACAGACCAAUAAGGCAAAUUCAAGUUAUUCUGUCAUCUAAACGAUGGCAGGCCAUCUCAUAGGCUUGUGGGAUCUGAGCUGGUCAUGGCAUGCACAUUCCUGUUCCCUCUCUUCUUUCCCUGUUCUUUCAUCCUCUUGAUGUUUCCCUACUGCACAUCAUGCUAAAUGUUAUUAUUCAUGUAAAACUGGGCUUCCGAGGACAUUAAAGAAUGAGGUCAGUUAAAGCUACUUGGGCUUGGGGUCAGAGUAGGGUUGUAGUGUGGCUGUGGACAGGAAUGGAUGGCCUUUCUCUUCUCCAGUUUAGCAAGGCUGAGACACAGCCAGUGGAAGAACUGUCCUAGUGUGGCAGAAGUCUUGAGUUUAAUCCCUAGAGCCCUGAAGACAAAGCUGAAAAAUCAAAAACACACACACACAUACAUACAUACACACACACACACACAC
Mesocricetus auratus (golden hamster) is the source of this 1128-nucleotide long non-coding RNA. RefSeq lists it as uncharacterized. The record is from RefSeq and is a predicted model, not a curated record. The transcript has 3 exons. Lineage: Eukaryota; Metazoa; Chordata; Mammalia; Rodentia; Cricetidae.